This 963-nucleotide small RNA is filed under the name Arabidopsis thaliana (thale cress). Its description in RNAcentral is "ATSL195960". The record is from RNAcentral. Lineage: Eukaryota; Viridiplantae; Streptophyta; Magnoliopsida; Brassicales; Brassicaceae.
UUAUAUUUAAAUUUACAAAUUGAAAUUGUUAUGUGAUUAAGAAAUCAAUAUCUAAAAUUAUUUCUAUGAGUCGGAACAAAGAAUAAAUUAAAUUUGUAAUUUAAAAUAGGUGGAAAACCAUAUGACGGUUUCUUUAAUCAAAGAACAUGAGCAGCUUGAUAUGGUUUCGCUAUAGGCUUUCAUCGUUUCAUCCAUUUAGCUCUAUUCUUUUUUUGUGAAUGGUUUUGGAACCUCCAUCCAAACCAUCUUCCUCCUCAUAUUCAUCAGCAUGACCGAUAGCUUAAAAGAUCGUUUUAUAAUUGUUGUUGUGUAUGGAGUUGAGGUUUUGGUUAUGAGGGUAAUCGCCUUCACGACAUUAACUUUUGUUCAAUCAUUCAUUGGCCAUGAGAACAUUGUUCGUGUGAACUUUUUGCUGCCUCGUUACAAUCUCAAUUUACACACAUCAUCUCUUUAUCUUUGUGGUGAAUUUGAAUAAUCAGUAUUUGUUUUAAUUUAGAAUCUCAUUUGAUAUGUUUGUUAAAACAAAUGCUACUAAAAAAAAGUAAGAAAACCAAAAGGUGUGGACAAGUUUUCCAUAUGGUUGAUUCUAGCGACGUAAGGAAAUGCGGUAAUUUUGAGUGAAUAUGCCUUACUUCAAUUCAUUCAUGGCAGUAUGUUAUGUUCUAAUAGACUAGUUGAUACCCUUAAAAUAUGUAUAAUCUCUAAUAAGUUUUUUUCUUUAUUUCUCUAUAUAAUGAAUUAAUUUCAUGAUAUUCACAUUGGUAAACAUGUUUUAGGUGAUGUGAUUUGCACAUAAAGGUUUUUUCAUAUGUAUAUGUUUUGCUCAUGUUUUGCAUAGUUAUGUUAUACAUAAUAAAUAAUUCAUUAUCAUGUAAAAGAUAAAACCAUGAUUUUUUUUGUAAGAAAGGUUUUACUUUUUCUCUUCCUUGUGAUUUUCAAAACUUCCAAUCUAUUAUAAAAAAA